This 409-nucleotide ribosomal RNA is filed under the name uncultured Glomus. Its description in RNAcentral is "SSU rRNA". It matches the Rfam family "Eukaryotic small subunit ribosomal RNA", at positions 569 to 984 of the family's 1831-position model. The record is from RNAcentral. Lineage: Eukaryota; Fungi; Glomeromycota; Glomeromycetes; Glomerales; Glomeraceae.
CGCAGCCGCGGUAAUUCCAGCUCCAAUAGCGUAUAUUAAAGUUGUUGCAGUUAAAAAGCUCGUAGUUGAAUUUCGGGAUCAAUCUAUUGGUCGUGCAAUAGUACGUACUGAUUUUAUUGAUUCCUCCCUUCUGAUGAACUAUGAUGUCAUUAAUUUGGUGUCAUAGGGAAUCAGGACUGUUACUUUGAAAAAUUGAGUGUUUAAAGCAGGCUCACGCUUGAAUACAUUAGCAUGGAAUAACGAAAUAGGACGUUUGAUUCUAUUUUGUUGGUUUCUAGGAUCGACGUAAUGAUUAAUAGGGAUAGUUGGGGGCAUUAGUAUUCAAUUGUCAGAGGUGAAAUUCUUGGAUUUAUUGAAGACUAACUACUGCGAAAGCAAUUUGCCAAGGAUGUUUUCAUUAAUCAAGAAC